Molecule: non-coding RNA, 864 nt
Organism: Phascolarctos cinereus (koala)
Lineage: Eukaryota; Metazoa; Chordata; Mammalia; Diprotodontia; Phascolarctidae
Source: RefSeq, a predicted model, not a curated record
GCCAUAUGCUCCUGCAGUCUGAGGAUUAAUACGGGUGGAUGUCCAUCUCCGGGAAAGUCGAAUGAACAACUUUGAGAAGGUGAAGAAAAAUGCAAAAGAGGGCAAGCUCAAGUAACAUGCCACAGUGACAGCCACCAAGCACCUGGAUAAGGCACCAAGGAUGAGAGGAGAGGAUGGAAAGGAAGAGGAUAGAAAGGAGUCUGGACCUGUGAUUCAUUGAACAAGGGAGCUCCAAUAUGAGGAAAGUCCCUCUUGUACUGCAGAUCCAUUUCUUUGAUUCACUUUAUAGCAGUGGAGAAUUGUUCAGAGGUGUAAGAGGUUACCCUCUCUCUUCACCAUUACUUGAGAAAGUUCCAGCAAUACUAACUUUCAGUAACACAAGAGAACAAAAUUCCAGUGUCCUGCUUCUACCAAGAGUGCUGUUAUGACUAUUCGGGUGUAUGUGGAAACUUCCCAUCUGUCUUCAGCUUAUUUGAAAUAUAUACCCGGUAGCAGGAUCAUCAGGCCAAAGGUGAAUGAUUAUCCCAGAGAGAAUGGAUUGACCCAUCAUCUGAAAUACCAGAUCCAGCAAGAAGCUGGAUCAAGGGAGUUGCUGUGUAAGAGAACAACUCAUCCAUCAGCUAUGCCACACCCAGAAGUGAAUUUGGCAGGGUCCCGGCAAAGGGAAAAAAGGAAUCCUAGGCUCAAUUCAUGUCAACACGUCGAUCACCAACACGUCGAUCACUAUUAGGGAAUACACCAGGUGGGGGCUUAUGAAUGAUGGAAUUAGAAGCCAGAGCCCUUCAGAGUUACCUCCAUGUGAGAGAUGAUCUCUCAGAAGGGAAGCCUCCUCAAAGGGUCAAUAGUUCUUGUUAAUGUUUCUUG